CCUGAGAAACCCAAAAGAUCGAAUGGGGAGAUUCAUCGUCAGCGAUCUCGGCACGUGCGCGGUUCGCGAUGUCGGGAGGUUUCGGCCUCUCGGCACGCGUCCGCGUUUCAUUGCCGGGUGUCGUCGGCGUGCACUUCUCCCCUAGUAGGACGUCGCGACCCGUUGGGUGUCGGUCUACGGCCCGGGUGGGAGCCUGUCACGCGUAACGCCUCGCGGCGUCGCGUGGCAGACCCCCGGUCGCCCGACCAGCUGCCCGGCGGUACUCGCACGGUAUAGAGCCGCAAAUAUUCGAACUGCGUCCGGCCCGCCGCAAGCUGUGCCAGUGUUUACCCGGAUGUACGGACCUAGCGCCGUCACCGGGCCUGGCCGGCUGUUGGCCGGCGGUGUCCUGGGACCGGCUCUAAAUUUUACCGGUCAGCGACGCUACUGCUUUGG
RNAcentral lists this ribosomal RNA (435 nucleotides) under Agrypon sp. RNAcentral's name for it is "eukaryotic LSU rRNA". Lineage: Eukaryota; Metazoa; Arthropoda; Insecta; Hymenoptera; Ichneumonidae. The record is from RNAcentral.